UAUAAAUACACUAUAACAGAGAGCUAUGAAUGAGCCUCUCAUUCCACUCCACCUUUCGUACGUGUAUAUGGUAUCAGAGCAAAUAUGUUAUCGAUUUACUCGAGCGGACUGAUUUCUUAGGCUGCAAACCAGUGGCCUCCCUGCAUCCAAAAAAAGACUCGAUCGUACCGGUAGUCCGUUGGCAGACCCUCACCUUUAUCGCAGCAUAGUAGGGGCCUUGCAGUACAUUACUCUCACCAGCCC
RNAcentral lists this long non-coding RNA (243 nucleotides) under Elaeis guineensis (African oil palm). RNAcentral's name for it is "long non-coding RNA (EGUI_LNC001888)". Lineage: Eukaryota; Viridiplantae; Streptophyta; Magnoliopsida; Arecales; Arecaceae. The record is from RNAcentral.